This 356-nucleotide long non-coding RNA is filed under the name Bos indicus x Bos taurus (hybrid cattle). RNAcentral's name for it is "lncRNA (ENSBIXG00000010280.1)". The record is from RNAcentral. Lineage: Eukaryota; Metazoa; Chordata; Mammalia; Artiodactyla; Bovidae.
GGCCCCCUCCUCAUGGGUCAGCUCAGCCCCUCGGGACUCACCAGCCCCCUCCUCACAGGUCAGCUCGGCCCAUCGAGCCUUCAGCCAGCGAGACCCACUGUUCUGAGAAGGCAGCCGCAGAAGGAGAAACACAAGUAGCCUUAAUUCAAGAAAGAGUACCCCGUGCAGUGGAACAAUCAAGGACUUCAAAACUCCAUUUCAAUUUCAAGCUCACUCUCCUAUCCAGUCAAUCCUAAGGGAAUAUCAGUCCUGAAUAUUCAUUGGAAAGACUGAUGCUGAAGCUGAAACUCCAGUACUUUGGCCACCUGAUGCGAAGAACUGACUCCUUGGAAAAGACCCUGAUGCUGGGAAAGAUU